UAGGGAAUCUUCGGCAAUGGGGGGAACCCUGACCGAGCAACGCCGCGUGAGUGAAGAAGGUUUUCGGAUCGUAAAGCUCUGUUGUUAAGGAAGAACGAGUGUGAGAAUGGAAAGUUCAUACUGUGACGGUACUUAACCAGAAAGGGACGGCUAACUACGUGCCAGCAGCCGCGGUAAUACGUAGGUCCCGAGCGUUGUCCGGAUUUAUUGGGCGUAAAGCGAGCGCAGGCGGUUAGAUAAGUCUGAAGUUAAAGGCAGUGGCUCAACCAUUGUAGGCUUUGGAAACUGUUUAACUUGAGUGCAGAAGGGGAGAGUGGACUUCCAUGUGUAGCGGUGAAAUGCGUAGAUAUAUGGAGGAACACCGGUGGCGAAAGCGGCUCUCUGGUCUGUAACUGACGCUGAGGCUCGAAAGCGUGGGGAGCGAACAGG
RNAcentral lists this ribosomal RNA (429 nucleotides) under Bacteroidota bacterium. RNAcentral's name for it is "Bacteroidetes bacterium partial 16S ribosomal RNA". It matches the Rfam family "Bacterial small subunit ribosomal RNA", at positions 355 to 776 of the family's 1533-position model. The record is from RNAcentral. Lineage: Bacteria; Pseudomonadati; Bacteroidota.